UUUCCAAAUAGGGGGGCUUUCUGCAGAUUUUCAUGACCCCACACCAGCUGACUCAUGUGCUGUUCAACAAGCAACCCUUGCCAGAAGGCCACCAAAAAGAAGGCAUGAAUUAGAGCCAGUACCAAUAAGGAGAAUAAUUUUUGCACAGAUAGACAUCAGCAAUCCUAUCAAUGAUGAAAAACACCCACCAACAACAACGUAUGAAUAUGUGAAUCUGAAUGCACAUCCGAAGCCAAGUUCAACAGAAACAGGAGCAUCACCACUUGAGAUGUUAGCCUUGGUUUCAGAAAAUGAGUAACAGAAGGGAAUCUGUGAAAAGCUUCUGCAAUAAAAAAAGGCUUUGGAACAAAGACUAGCUAAGCAGAUACUACAAAAUGUUGAUUUGAAAAGGGAAUGUGCAGCUCUAAAGGACAAACCUAAAGAUUUUAAGAAAAGUCAUGACUUUAUCUUCUAAGUUAAAAAGGUCCAAUAAGAGACAACUUUCAGUAUCAUACUGGCUUUGUUUAUGUUCAGUUUAUGACCAUUUUUAACUUUCUAGUGCCAAAUAAAGUGUCCAUUCAAUUGGAAGAGAACAGUGCCUUCUGUAAAGAACAUGAAACUAAAGACACUUGUUCAACAUUUCGCCUCAAGACGCAGGAGUGGUUUUCCGAGAAUGGAUAAACUACAAGUUCUAUCGAUUUGGAUCUGUGCCUCUUUGGCCAGAGCGAGAAAUACUUAUAAACAAUAUGCCACCUAAAUUUAAAACUGAUUUUCCAACAACAAUGCUCAAAUUAGAUGGAACUGAAUGAAAGUUGAGCGGCCAAGCUCUUUGCGAUCUCAAAGUCAAUGUUAUUCAGACUACAAGUCAAGCUAUACACUAAAAGGUUUAGUUGGUAUUGACCCAAGGGGUUCCUUUACAUAUAUUUCCAUGCUUUACUCAGGUUCAAUAUCUGAAAAGGACAUUACAAGUAAAUGUGAACUGCUGAAUGUAUUGAGAAAUCUGAUAGACUGCAAGAGGCUACAUGUAGUGGAUGGCAACAUGGUAGAUAUAAGGUUAUUAAUAAAAAAUGAAAUUGAAGCCGUGGGGUUAAAGUUGAUAAUUCCACCAUUUGCGCCUUGAGCCUGACAAAUGUAAACUGGUGAUGUCACUUUAACCAAGAAAAUUGCAAAACACAAAGUGCAUGAUCUAGAGCAAAGAAGUUCAAAAUUGUUGACAAUAGAAUAGAGGUCAGAUUGUUUCCAGUGGUGAAUCAAAUCUGUUUUAACUGUUGUUUCUUGACAAGAUUCAUGCCACUUCUUAUACAAGACAAAAAAUAACCUGGUGCUCCAGUGUUGAGCCUGCACUCUGUUCACCACUGCUGGUGGCCACUGUCUUGUAUGGCUUGGAUGCUAAGUACCCAAGUAGUGUACCCCUCAUAGCAGCAAGAUGCUCAAUGUCCAACAGCUUAACUUACCUGAAACAAAGUGAAAUAGAAUGUAUUAUCACACUUUGUAUAUAUUUAUAUAUUUAUUUAUAUAUAGGGGUUUAACAUUAGAAUUUAUUAUUUUGAGGAACACUUCUUUAAUUCAUCCUUUAAGAAAUGUUGA
Molecule: long non-coding RNA, 1566 nt
Organism: Mya arenaria
Lineage: Eukaryota; Metazoa; Mollusca; Bivalvia; Myida; Myidae
Exons: 3
Source: RefSeq, a predicted model, not a curated record